UACGUAGGGUGCGAGCGUUAAUCGGAAUUACUGGGCGUAAAGCGUGCGUAGGCGGCUUGUCGCGUCGAUUGUGAAAGCCCGGGGCUUAACCUCGGGUCUGCAGUCGAUACGGGCUGGCUAGAGUGUGGUAGGGGAGAUCGGAAUUCCUGGUGUAGCGGUGAAAUGCGCAGAUAUCAGGAGGAACACCGGUGGCGAAGGCGGAUCUCUGGGCCAUUACUGACGCUGAGGAGCGAAAGCGUGGGGAGCGAACAGG
This 253-nucleotide ribosomal RNA is filed under the name uncultured bacterium. Its description in RNAcentral is "partial 16S ribosomal RNA". It matches the Rfam family "Bacterial small subunit ribosomal RNA", at positions 524 to 776 of the family's 1533-position model. The record is from RNAcentral.